UUUUUUUUUUUUUUUUUUUGGUUUUGCUUAUUUCUAUUUUCUAGUCCAAGAUUUAAUCUAGUUCCAUUCCACUUUGGUGCUGUCAGAUGUUUUAUAUUUCAAACCUCCAUAUUUCUACCGAAAAACAGAAAACAAAAAGAACAGACCAGCGACGAUGGGUGAAGAGGAACUGAGGGCUAAAUUGCAACGGAUCUUCUGUCCCACACGCUGUGCCACUUUUUAUUAUAUUGCUAUUUUUCCUACAUAAACAUCAUAUUUUAAUUUUUUUUUGUUUCCUCAUGAUCCAAUAACUAUUAAUUCAGUAUCAAAAUGCAUAAAAAAUGAGAUUUUUUAUAAAUUUUCUGUUGUAUUUUUUAAUUUUCUAUUACAUAUUACUUUUUUAAAACUAUUGUAUUUAAUUUUUUACUAAACUAAUAGUUAUUAAAUCUUAAGAAAAUAAAAAAAAAAAAAAGUGGCACGGUGCCUCAACUAAAUUGAAAGGCCGUUGCUUCUUUUUCAAGAAAAGAAAAGCCCGAAAAAUAAAAAAAAAAAAAAAAAAGAGAAAAAAGCGCAUCACGGAACGGAUUGGGCGGGCCUCACUGCCGGGAUCUCGACAGAGCAUAACGUCUUAUGUGCCACGUGUCCAGGCUUCCAGAGUAGUAGCAGUAGUACUAUCAAAGGUUGCGUCAGCGCUGACGACGACAUCCAAAUACCCUACUAAUUAAAAUAUAUUUUAGGUAUCAUAUUUUUGUUAAUAUAAAAUUAAUUAGAGAAAGUAAAUAAUUAUUAAUAAAUGAUAAACAAAAUUAAAUAAAAAAGUAUAUAAAUAUAAGAUAAGGUAAUAAUUAUUAGUGUGUGUGUAUAUAUAAUAUGUCAGGGGAAUGUUAAAUGUGUGUUCUAUGAUCUAUCAUCCGGCAGAAAAACCCUAAAAAGAAAAGCAUUGGUCAAUGUUUGACAACUAACCAAUAUAUAUUUCAAACCAUAAACGUGUACCAAUAUGGCAGGUGGCGUCCAUCAUAGCCGGUCGCAUUUCCAUCCGCAGAAUCAGAAGUAUAUACGCGGCGCAAUUCUGCCUGCAAAAUCAGCAGCCCUCGCCAUUAGCAGUUGGUUUUUCUAGGGAAGAAUUUUGGAUUUGAUUUGAUGUUGAGAAACUCACGACCUAAUGUUAGUUUUUAUUAAUCCGAAGUACAAUGAGAUUCCAGAUCACUGUAUUUCUCUUGAUCAAAGAAUAUUAUUCUUAUAUCCCUCUUUCUAUUUGUAUUUCUCUUGAUCAAAGAAUUAGGUAACCAAAAAAAAAAAGGGCAAAUCUGUAGGAGUUGAGCAUUCAUUGCAAUGCAGGUAGCUGAUAUUGAGAUCCAAGGCAGGCUGAUGGGCACGGGAAGAACACCGUCUACAGUCAGUGUUAAGUGCAGGGGCUGAGAUUGAUCUAGGGGCACAAGGACAUUGUUGGCUAAAGGUCCACCCCUGAAUAAAUCAACAAGGACCAGCCCCCGUGUCCCUGGCCAUUGAACAUUUGAAUUCAAUGCAAAAAAGGCAACAUGCUCCUUAGUUUGAAACCCUCUCUCUUCACGAAAAGACUCCAAAUUUCUCAACUGUGGCUGCCGCCUUUGACAGCCUCGUCAAUUAUACAACUGUUAUCGUUAUAAUGAAAAACAACAAUUGUAAAACUAAGAUGGCUGGGAGAGAAUUUGUCACAGCGGAUCAGUAGCCAUGAAAAAGGAACUAAAUCCGUCAUCGAACUCUUCUAAGUUAAAAGGGUUCGAACCCCCACUUGGUUUGAAGAAAAAAAUUCGAAGGACAUGGCUGCUCCUUUCUUGUGUACCGCCUCCUCAUCUAACAUGGGCUCGAACAGAUUUUCUAUGUUUUUAUUUUCCCUUCAUUCUUGCUAACACAUUCUUAGUUCUUGUUUGUACCGUAAGAAAGAUGAGGCGUCAUCCCCGUAAGAAGAGACCUGAAUGCACUCCGCACCGUCUCAAUCAAUUGCAUUUAAGAAUUUCAUCAUUUGAACUUUGUGGGAUGAAAUUUGAGAAUUUGAGAGUUAACAAGUCGACUCAAACAUAUGGGAGAAUGAAACUUGCAAUUCUCCCUCCAAUUAUUCCAAAUCCGUUCAGCGACAAGAGUGGCCAAAGCACCAAAUCGUUUACUAGACCUUGGUAUCAAUGUCAAUUGGAUUCCAACAGUCAAUUGUGCAAAUGCAUAUGAAAUCUAAAAGCCCUCUAAGAAUUGUGACUCAAGGUAGCCUCGCUCUUUCUCUAGACAUCAACUAGAUACCAAAUACCAAGCUUCUGAAGUUACAAUAAAUUGGCUGGAACAUUUUUCAUGUCAUAUAUAUCCCCUACAAAAUUAAUUAGCACCUCCCUUAAAACUAUCCAAAAGAAGCAAAGAUAAUAUCAACAAAACUGCGACAAAAAUCAACAUCAUGUAUUACAGCUAAUAUCUUCCUAGACACAGUAACAAGAAACCAUCACAGUCCAGGGAAGCAUACAACUAAUUAGCAUCAUCAACAAAACAGUGACAAGAAUCGGUAAAAUGAAUUAAAGAGAAUAUCUCCUACAAACAUUGAUCAAGAAAGAAGAUCAUAAAUCAGGGAAGCAUACAAUUGAUACACUACAGCUUUUGGGGGCAAUUUGAGCAUGGUUAUUGAUUUUGAGAAAAGAAAAGGAGAACAACGUUACUGAUGAUUCUCGCCCGUUGUUAUCAUGCGGGUAUUAUAUGAAUUACAAUGCCUGCACUUGUGGCCAA
RNAcentral lists this long non-coding RNA (2721 nucleotides) under Coffea arabica (coffee). RNAcentral's name for it is "long non-coding RNA (CARA_LNC000388)". The record is from RNAcentral. Lineage: Eukaryota; Viridiplantae; Streptophyta; Magnoliopsida; Gentianales; Rubiaceae.